AGUGAACGCUGGCGGCGUGCCUAAUACAUGCAAGUCGAACGGACACACAGUAAGCUCUCGCUCCUACGGUUGGCGAGUGGCGGAUGGGUGACGCAUGGAUCGGCUACCUCUUUUUCUGGGAUAACAUCGUAGGGACACUUAUGCUAACACAGCAUAUGAUCUACGGGAGAGAGCAGUGGUUCUACGCAGUUUUCGUGUCACUUUUAGCUGAUGUCGCUCUACAUAGUUGGCGAGGUAAAGGCCCACCAAGGCAACGAUCCGUAGCGGGUCUGAGAGGAUGAUCCGCCACACUGGAACUGAGACACGGUCCAGACUCCUACGGGAGGCAGCAGUAGGGAAUAUUCGGCAAUGGGCGCAAGCCUGAUGCAGCAAUGCCGCGUGAGUGAAGAAGGCCUUCGGAUCGUAAAGCCCUUUUAUUAGGGAAGAAAAAAUGUGUAUGAAUACCCCGCUGUCCUGACGGUACCCAAAGAGAAAGCACCGGCUAACUACGUG
Molecule: ribosomal RNA, 492 nt
Filed under: uncultured bacterium
Lineage: Bacteria
Description: partial 16S ribosomal RNA
Rfam family: Bacterial small subunit ribosomal RNA
Source: RNAcentral